UACGUAGGGUGCAAGCGUUGUCCGGAAUCACUGGGCUUAAAGCGCGUGUAGGCGGAUGGGAACGUCGGUAGUUGAAAGCCCCCGGCUCAACCGGGGAAGUGGUGCCGAAACGACCCGUCUGGAGGGACGUAGGGGGAUCUGGAACUUCCGGUGGAGCGGUGAAAUGCGUUGAGAUCGGAAGGAACGCCCGUGGCGAAAGCGAGGUCCUGGACGUCUACUGACGCUGAGACGCGAAAGCUAGGGGAGCAAACGGG
Molecule: ribosomal RNA, 254 nt
Filed under: uncultured bacterium
Lineage: Bacteria
Description: partial 16S ribosomal RNA
Rfam family: Bacterial small subunit ribosomal RNA
Source: RNAcentral